CAGUCGCCGCGGUAAUACGAAGGGGGCUAGCGUUGCUCGGAAUGACUGGGCGUAAAGGGCGCGUAGGCGGCGGCCAAAGUCGGGCGUGAAAUUCCCGGGCUCAACCUGGGGGCUGCGUUUGAUACUUGGUUGCUUGAGUGGGGAAGAGGGUCGUGGAAUUCCCAGUGUAGAGGUGAAAUUCGUAGAUAUUGGGAAGAACACCGGUGGCGAAGGCGGCGACCUGGUCCUUUACUGACGCUGAGGCGCGAAAGCGUGGGGAGCAAACAGGAUUAGAUACCCGCGUAGUCCCUGUCUCUUAUAC
RNAcentral lists this ribosomal RNA (301 nucleotides) under uncultured bacterium. Its description in RNAcentral is "partial 16S ribosomal RNA". It matches the Rfam family "Bacterial small subunit ribosomal RNA", at positions 509 to 807 of the family's 1533-position model. The record is from RNAcentral.